RNAcentral lists this long non-coding RNA (480 nucleotides) under Homo sapiens (human). RNAcentral describes it as "non-protein coding lnc-DHX35-4:1". The record is from RNAcentral. Lineage: Eukaryota; Metazoa; Chordata; Mammalia; Primates; Hominidae.
CUGAGCUUCUGUUUCCUUCUUUCAUGUAAAUCAUUAAUCUAAGAUUUAGUUCAGUGCAUAUUUGAGAUGAGGCUCUAACAACAUAUACAAUAUACAACAAUAUAUAUCAACAACAAUAUGUAUUAUUAAAUACAUAUAUGUCAUCUCCCUGAAGCCCUACAAGAGCCUAAUGAGAUAGAUGGUGAUAUAAUUUAUAGAAUAGGAAACUGAAUGCACAAAGUCACUUGGCUGUUGUCAGAUAAGGAGAUCAAUCACAUUCUCUCUUAAGAAUAUAAUUUGGAGACAUAAAAUAGGAGUUGGUAGACGGCAUUUGAGCUAAAAGUUCAUGCACAGUUGGGGCUGGAGUUGGUGUCUUGACAACCUAAUUUAUUUGAAUUAUUGGGUGACAGGUGGGGGUGAGUAGGCAAAAAACGUACAAUGAAAGAAACCCCUCUGAAGAGGAGAUAAAGCUGACUGCAGAGAAAAGUGGAGAUCAAAAGA